This 397-nucleotide ribosomal RNA is filed under the name uncultured bacterium. Its description in RNAcentral is "bacterial SSU rRNA". It matches the Rfam family "Bacterial small subunit ribosomal RNA", at positions 29 to 428 of the family's 1533-position model. The record is from RNAcentral.
AUUGAACGCUGGCGGCAUGCUUUACACAUGCAAGUCGAGCGGCAGCGCGGGGGCAACCCUGGCGGCGAGCGGCGAACGGGUGAGUAAUGCAUCGGAACGUAUCCUCUUGUGGGGGAUAACCCACCGAAAGGUGGGCUAAUACCGCAUAAGCUCUGAGGAGGAAAGCGGGGGACCGAAAGGCCUCGCGCUGGAGGAGCGGCCGAUGUCCGAUUAGCUAGUUGGUGAGGUAAAGGCUCACCAAGGCGACGAUCGGUAGCUGGUCUGAGAGGAUGAUCAGCCACACUGGGACUGAGACACGGCCCAGACUCCUACGGGAGGCAGCAGUGGGGGAAUUUUGGACAAUGGGGGCAACCCUGAUCCAGCCAUGCCGCGUGAGUGAAGAAGGCCUCGGUUGUAA